RNAcentral lists this ribosomal RNA (315 nucleotides) under uncultured eukaryote. Its description in RNAcentral is "partial 18S ribosomal RNA". It matches the Rfam family "Eukaryotic small subunit ribosomal RNA", at positions 1470 to 1796 of the family's 1831-position model. The record is from RNAcentral.
CCCUUAGACGUUCUGGGCCGCACGCGCGCUACACUGACCAGUGCAACAAGCAUCCGUCCUUGGCCGACAGGCCCGGGUAAUCUUUGAACGCUGGUCGUGAUGGGGAUAGACUUUUGCAAUUUUUGGUCUUCAACGAGGAAUUCCUAGUAAACGCAAGUCAUCAACUUGCAUUGAUUACGUCCCUGCCCUUUGUACACACCGCCCGUCGCACCUACCGAUUGAAUGGUCCGGUGAAGCCUCCGGAUUGGCGCGCACCUCGGUGCCGCCGAGAAGUUGGCUAAACCUUACCAUUUAGAGGAAGGUGAANUCGUAACA